Molecule: long non-coding RNA, 464 nt
Organism: Solanum stenotomum
Lineage: Eukaryota; Viridiplantae; Streptophyta; Magnoliopsida; Solanales; Solanaceae
Exons: 3
Source: RefSeq, a predicted model, not a curated record
GACAAACAUUCUCAAUUGAAGUAAAAAUGUCAUUCCCAAGUGACCAAAAGAGAUGCUAUGUUUUGGUGUCGAUUUGAUGUAAAUCUCAAAGAUUGCUCUGGCUCAACAACUGGGAUGAUUAUGAACAAAGAAGGAGAAAAACUAUUAUCCCUAACUGCAAAACAAAUUUAUGAAAGAGCUUCCACUAAGAGCAACUGUCCACCUAUGAAAGAUGGACACGCAAGCUUUAUCAACAAGAUCUUCUCUAUUCGAGCCAAGAAAAAAUUUGCCCGUACUUCAAAUGCAACUGCUACAAAAUUAUAUAUCCAAUCAUGCGUUGAAAAAGAAAAUACCACACAUUCUCUUCCAGCAGCACCAUACACAAUCAAUAUCUAAGAAGGAAGCAAAAGAAAACAAACAGUUGAACCAGAACAAGUGAGUGAACAGGCUGAAUCAUCAUCACUCAAAAUGAAGCAGAAACUGGA